CUAGCACCAUCUGAAAUCGGUUAU
Molecule: non-coding RNA, 24 nt
Filed under: Callithrix jacchus (white-tufted-ear marmoset)
Lineage: Eukaryota; Metazoa; Chordata; Mammalia; Primates; Cebidae
Also listed under: 4 other names
Source: RNAcentral